Molecule: long non-coding RNA, 1294 nt
Filed under: Homo sapiens (human)
Lineage: Eukaryota; Metazoa; Chordata; Mammalia; Primates; Hominidae
Description: non-protein coding lnc-TEX15-1:1
Source: RNAcentral
GCAAGCGCCGCUGCUUUCCGAGCUGCCUGCUCACUGUGCGCACCUCGCUGGGGGGUGCUGCUGUGUUCCUGAGGCUUCCAGGGAAGGCAGUGGGCGAAGGUCUGUACCGUGCUAAGAUUGAGUCUGAGGAACUGACUGAGCAAAGAAGACAGCUCAAGCCGGCUGUCUCGCUGCAGGAGCCGGUGGACGCGGGGGAGCCUCGGUAGGUGAGGGCGGCGCGGGGGUAGCUGGGCUCCGACGCGGGCGCCUGAGGGGAGCGUCCCCCGACUGCAGGAGGACUGGCGCGCCCGGGAUGCGGUGCCGCGUGUCCCGGCGCUGUGGCUGUUGUAAGGCUGAGUGGAGGUUUUGCAGGGCUGCUUCGCCCUGGUGGCUCUUGGCUUCCUGGCUCGGCUCAGUGAAGGGAGUGAAACCCCUCGGGUCCCGGCGUGGUGCGGGUGCAGGAAGAGACUCCUGCCUCAGUUUCGUGUGAGCCGCGUCCCAAGCCCAGCCCUGCACAGAUCCUUUCAGGCAGUUUCCAUCCUCUCCGCGCUCGGGGUUGAGUUUCCGCGUUUGGAAUGCUCGGUUUGAGGCGCAUGGCCACCGCGCUGGCUGUGUCGGGAGACAGUGCCCAGGGAUGAUGUUCGAGAAAGUGGAGAGGCUGAGGUCGCUGGCAACUCGGAGACUUUGAAGAUACCACGGUUCCCUUCAAGUUUAAAAAUGAUGUUCCCUUAUCAGUUUUCAUGUAUGGACUGAGUACUGAUUAUAACUGUGUAAUGCUGGAUGCCAUUGAAGAGUGGCCAACAAAAUGGAAAUGAAAGAAACUGCUAAACAGGAUACACUGUGGCAAAUGAGCUCAACUAGCAAACCCGUGUUGAAUACUCGUGAAGUCAAUCCUUUGAAGAAAUUCACCAUUCCUAAGAUCAGGAGGACAGCUGAGAAAGUUUACUUGUCACCUUGUUACACCAAUAGUAGAGAGUAUAGUUUUAUACAUGAUACUCUUAACCAGUGCAGGCUUGAUGUAAACUGUGAUCUGCAGUCGUUAUGGCAGUUUGGGGAUACAAAACUGGUUCACAAUGAGGAACUGGAAAAAAAUUUUACUGCUAAGAGAGGUCAGAGAUGCGUGAAAGUGGAAGACAUUGCAGGGAACUUGAAGAACAGUUCUGCUUUUUAGCACUUCCCCAGAGUGAUGUAGCCCAGAUAUAUCAGAAUGGAAUAAGUACCAGAGCAUCUACAUUGAAGAUACUAGGAAAUCCUCUUCUUGGAAUUUAUAUGUUUAGACAUGUUGAUAUUGCCUUGAAUUAUUCUCAUAGUCAAA